AGAGUUUGAUCCUGGCUCAGGACGAACGCUGGCGGCGUGCCUAAUACAUGCAAGUCGAGCGGACGAAUCGAAAGCUUGCUUUUGAUUCGUUAGCGGCGGACGGGUGAGUAACACGUGGGCAACCUGCCCUGUAGACGGGGAUAACACCGAGAAAUCGGUGCUAAUACCGGAUAACACGAAAUGUCGCAUGACGUUUCGUUGAAAGACGGCGCAAGCUGUCGCUACAGGAUGGGCCCGCGGCGCAUUAGCUAGUUGGUGAGGUAACGGCUCACCAAGGCGACGAUGCGUAGCCGACCUGAGAGGGUGAUCGGCCACACUGGGACUGAGACACGGCCCAGACUCCUACGGGAGGCAGCAGUAGGGAAUCUUCCGCAAUGGACGUAAGUCUGACGUAGCAACGCCGCGUGGGCGAAGAAGGCCUUCGGGUCGUAAAGCUCUGUUGUUAGGGAAGAACAGUAACGCAGUAACUGGCGUUACCGUGACGGUACCUAACGAGAAAGCCACGGCUAACUACGUGCCAGCAGCCGCGGUAAUACGUAGGUGGCAAGCGUUGUCCGGAAUUAUUGGGGCGUAAAGCGCGCGCAGGCGGGUUUCCUUAAGUCUGAUGUGAAAGCCCACGGCUCAACCGUGGAGGGUCAUUUGGAAACUGGGGGACUUGAGUGCAGAAGAGGAGAGCGGAAUUCCACGUGUAGCGGUGAAAUGCGUAGAGAUGUGGAGGGAACACCAGUGGCGAAGGCGGCUCUCUGGUCUGUAACUGACGCUGAGGGCGCGAAAGCGUGGGGAGCAAAACAGGAUUAGAU
This 800-nucleotide ribosomal RNA is filed under the name uncultured bacterium. RNAcentral describes it as "bacterial SSU rRNA". It matches the Rfam family "Bacterial small subunit ribosomal RNA", at positions 8 to 783 of the family's 1533-position model. The record is from RNAcentral.